Molecule: ribosomal RNA, 253 nt
Filed under: uncultured bacterium
Lineage: Bacteria
Description: partial 16S ribosomal RNA
Rfam family: Bacterial small subunit ribosomal RNA
Source: RNAcentral
UACGUAGGGUCCAAGCGUUAUCCGGAAUCACUGGGCGUAAAGCGUGCGUAGGUGGGAAUUUAAGUGUGAUGUUAAAUCGUGUGGCUCAACCAUAUCGAUGCAUCGCAUACUGGGUUCCUAGAGGACGGCAGAGGCAAGUGGAAUUAGCAGUGUAGCAGUGAAAUGCGUAGAUAUUGCUAGGAACACCAAUGGCGAAGGCAGCUUGCUGGGCCACUCCUGACACUGAGGUACGAAAGCGUGGGGAGCGAACAGG